UGGUUUUCAAGAAAAGAAUUUAGUCCAACCUAAAAUAACUUUCCCUCCCCCACGCCCGCCCUUAUUUUAGAGUAAUUCAAAUGAGGUACAGCCCAUUUGAUACAGGAUCCAACCUUUACUAAAGGGUAAUACCUAACUUACACCCACAAGUAGGCCUAAGAGCAGCCAUCUUCUAAAAAGCGUCAAAGCUUAAAUUUGUUUAUUUUAAUCCACAGAUCUCCACAGACCCCUUUUAUUAUAUUGAAAAUUUCUAUAAUCCUAUAGAACCUUUAAUGCUAAAACUAGUAACAAGAAGCACCCCUCUCUUAUAUGCAAACAUAAGCCAGCAAGAACUCAUCACUGGCAAUUAAAAUUAACUAAAUGUAGUAACUUUCCCCAGAAAACCCUACUCUUAACCCACUGUUAACCUAACACAAGAGCAUUCCAAGAAAGAUUAAAAGAAAAAGAAGGAACUCAGCAAACAAUUAGCCUCGCCUGUUUACCAAAAACAUCGCCUCUUGUCCCCCCUAAGAGGUCCAGCCUGCCCAGUGACUCUGUUCAACGGCCGCGGUAUCCUAACCGUGCAAAGGUAGCGUAAUCACUUGUUUUCUAAAUGGAGACCAGUAUGAAAGGCAUCACGAGGGUUAAACUGUCUCCUUUCUCUAAUCAGUGAAACUAAUCCCCCCGUGAAGAAGCGGGGAUUCUACUAUAAGACGAGAAGACCCUAUGGAGCUUAAAACAUCUUAACACCUGCUGCAAUUUGCAUCAUCCAGAUAUUUACCUUUACCAGCACGCUGAUUAUAAGUUUUUGGUUGGGGUGACCGCGGAGAAAAAAUCAUCCUCCGCAAUGAAAAGGACCUCCUUAAACAGUAAGUUACAACUUUACGUAUCAAUAAAUUGACAUCAUUGACCCAACAAAUUGAUCAACGAACCUAGUUACCCUAGGGAUAACAGCGCAAUCCACUUCAAGAGCUCCUAUCGACAAGUGGGCUUACGACCUCGAUGUUGGAUCGGGGUAUCCUAGUGGUGCAGUCGCUACUAAAGGUUCGUUUGUUCAACGAUUAAAACCCCACGUGAUCUGAGUUCAGACCGGAGCAAUCCAGGUCAGUUUCUAUCUAUAAAGAGCUCUUUUCAGUACGAAAGGACCAAAAUAGCAUGGCCAAUACCCAGUCAAGCCAUAGUUAAUUACUUAUGACUUCCACUCAAAAGACUAUUAACCUCUCACCCACCU
This 1210-nucleotide ribosomal RNA is filed under the name Pristimantis nyctophylax (Tandapi robber frog). Its description in RNAcentral is "partial large subunit ribosomal RNA". It matches the Rfam family "Bacterial large subunit ribosomal RNA", at positions 851 to 2925 of the family's 2925-position model. The record is from RNAcentral. Lineage: Eukaryota; Metazoa; Chordata; Amphibia; Anura; Strabomantidae.